UCCGUAGGUGAACCUGCGGAAGGAUCAUUACAAGAAACGAGGCCGCGUGCGUGCGCUCGCCCGCCCGGCCCCGCUCCUUACCUUGCCUACUGCACCGUUUGUUGCUUCCUGGCGGCGGACUGCCCGCCGCCAGGGACGUUGAUACAACCCUGUAUAGAAGCAUUGAAGCUCUGAGAAAACGCGAAAUCGUACAACUUUCAACAAUGGAUCUCUUGGUUCUGGCAUCGAUGAAGAACGCAGCGAAAUGCGAUAAGUAGUGUGAAUUGCAGAAUUCAGUGAAUCAUCGAAUCUUUGAACGCACAUUGCGCCCCUUGGCAUUCCAUGGGGCAUGCCUGUUCGAGCGUCAUCUAAACCCUCAAGCCCCCGGCUUGGUGUUGGGUGCCUGUCCCCGCUCCCCGCGCGGACUCACCCCAAAUGCAUUGGCAGCCGCCUCUCGGCUUCUUGCGCAGCACAGUGCGCAGCGAGGCGAGGUGAGGCGUGCGUCCAGCAAGCAACCACCCAAGUUUGACCUCGGAUCAGGUAGGGAUACCCGCUGAACUUAAGCAUAUCAAUAAGCG
This 557-nucleotide ribosomal RNA is filed under the name fungal endophyte sp. Papochf 06. RNAcentral's name for it is "eukaryotic LSU rRNA". The stretch from base 193 to 346 matches the Rfam family "5.8S ribosomal RNA". Lineage: Eukaryota; Fungi. The record is from RNAcentral.